CAACAGCAAUAGCCUCAAUAGCCUCCUCAUUCUCUUUGUUCUUCUUCUUCUUCUUCUUCUUCUUUUCAAUUUCAUCACUCCCUGCAUCAAUUGCACUAUCAACAACAGCAACAGCAAUAGCCUCUAUAGCCUCCUCAAUCUCUUUGUUCUUCUUCUUCUUCUUCUUCUUUUUCUGCUUUUCAAUUUCAUCACUCCCUACAUCAAUUGCACCAUCAACAACAGCAAUAGCCUCAAUAGCAUCCUCAUUUUCAUUGCUCUUCUUCUUCUUCUUUUUCUUCUUUUCAAUUUCAUCAUUCCCUACAUCAAUUGCACCAUCAACAACAGCAAUAGACUCAAUAGCAUCCUCAUUUUCGUUGCUCUUUUUCUUCUUUUCAAUUUCAUCACUCCCUACAUCAAUUGCACCAUCAACAACAGCAACAGCCUCAAUAGCAUCCUCAUUUUCAUUGCUCUUCUUCUUCUUCUUCUUCUUCUUCUUCUUUUUCUUAUUUUCAAUUUCAUCACUCCCUGCAUCAAUUGCACCAUCAACAACAGCAAUAGCCUCCUCAUUCUCUUUGUUCUUCUUCUUCUUCUUCUUCUUCUUCUUCUUUUUCUUCUUUUCAAUUUCAUCACUCCCUACAUCAAUUGCACCAUCAACAACAGCAAUAGCCUCAAUAGCAUCCUCAUUUUCAUUGCUCUUCUUCUUCUUCUUUUUCUUCUUUUCAAUUUCAUCACUCCCUACAUCAAUUGCACCAUCAACAACAGCAAUAGACUCAAUAGCAUCCUCAUUUUCGUUGCUCUUUUUCUUCUUUUCAAUUUCAUCACUCCCCACAUCAAUUGCACCAUCAACAACAGCAAUAGCCUCAAUAGCAUCCUCAUUUUCAUUGCUCUUCUUCUUCUUCUUUUUCUUCUUUUCAAUUUCAUCACUCCCUACAUCAAUUGCACCAUCAACAACAGCAAUAGACUCAAUAGCAUCCUCAUUUUCGUUGCUCUUUUUCUUCUUUUCAAUUUCAUCACUCCCCACAUCAAUUGCACCAUCAACAACAGCAAUAGCCUCAAUAGCAUCCUCAUUUCCAUUGCUCUUCUUCUUCUUCUUUUUCUUAUUUUCAAUUUCAUCACUCCCUACAUCAAUUGCACCAUCAACAACAGCAAUAGCCUCAAUAGCCUCCUCAUUCUCUUUGUUCUUCUUCUUCUUCUUCUUCUUUUUCUUCUUUUCAAUUUCAUCACUCCCUGCAUCAAUUGCAUUAUCAACAACAGCAACAGCAAUAUCCUCAAUAGCAUCCUCAUUUUCAUUGCUCUUCUUCUUUUUCUUUUUAUUCUUUUCAAUUUCAUUACUCCCUACAUCAAUUGCACCAUCCACAACAGCAACAGCAAUAGCCUCAAUAGCAUCCUCAUUUUCAUUGCUCUUCUUCUUUUUCUUAUUUUCAUUUUCAUCACUCCCUACAUCAAUUGCACCAUCAACAACAGCAAUAGCCUCAAUAGCAUUCUCAUUUUCAUUGCUCUUCUUCUUUUUCUUCUUUUCAAUUUCAUCACUCCCUAC
Molecule: long non-coding RNA, 1516 nt
Filed under: Gossypium barbadense (sea-island cotton)
Lineage: Eukaryota; Viridiplantae; Streptophyta; Magnoliopsida; Malvales; Malvaceae
Description: long non-coding RNA (GBAR_LNC012065)
Source: RNAcentral